UGCAUCGAUGAAGAACGCAGCGAAAUGCGAUAAGUAAUGUGAAUUGCAGAAUUCAGUGAAUCAUCGAAUCUUUGAACGCACAUUGCGCCCCUUGGUAUUCCAUGGGGCAUGCCUGUUCGAGCGUCAUUUCACCACUCAAGCCUCGCUUGGUAUUGGGCAACGCGGUCCGCCGCGUGCCUCAAAUCGACCGGCUGGGUCUUCUGUCCCCUAAGCGUUGUGGAAACUAUUCGCUAAAGGGUGCUCGGGAGGCUACGCCGUAAAACAACCCCACUUCUAAAGUUGACCUCGGAUCAGGUAGGGAUACCCGCUGAACUUAAGCAUAUCAAUAAGCGGAGGA
Molecule: ribosomal RNA, 337 nt
Filed under: uncultured fungus
Lineage: Eukaryota; Fungi
Description: eukaryotic LSU rRNA
Rfam family: 5.8S ribosomal RNA (bases 1-126)
Source: RNAcentral